Molecule: long non-coding RNA, 2134 nt
Filed under: Panicum hallii
Lineage: Eukaryota; Viridiplantae; Streptophyta; Magnoliopsida; Poales; Poaceae
Description: long non-coding RNA (PHAL_LNC000397)
Source: RNAcentral
GAAAGUAGAAACCCCCAAACCCUCCUCCCCUUCUCCGCGCACCACCUGCCGCCGGAAACCCUAGAUCUCCCCCGACCCAUGGAUCCGCAGCAGCCGGUGUAGCUUUGCUUCGUUCUCGGACUUCGGUCACGCCGACCUUGCGACGGCUGAGCUCGCUAGCAAGCAGGGGUCUCUAGGAUUGGAUUAUUUGAUUCCUUUCUGGAGCUGCGGCUUCGGUUUUUGUAUCCCCCAAUCCUGUGAUCCGCUGCUAAAUCGAGGGUUUAAUCUGGGAUUGGUCCUGAGAUUUGGCGUUUUUGUUACUCCCGGCCUGUUCUGCUUUCCCAUGACUAGUGUUUAGUUUUAACUUUUUCGUCUCCGCUAUCUUCCUCAAUCCUUUUCUUUUAUGCGAAAUAAGGAGAAACUGGAUUUCACUUUCGUUUUAUUUGAUUUGGAAACCAUGUAACUUGGAUCUCUUCUAGUCUAUAUGCAGGGUGUUACAUGAUACUUUAAUUCCCACCCUUGACACUUGUAUAUUCUGUAAGAUGAGAUGCAUUUGUUUUUUUCCUAUGUGUACAACUCUACCUUCACUUGUAUCCUGAAACAGGCGUUUAACACUCCUUUGGAUAUCACUUUGUUUGCCACAUUCUUCACUGUUUAAGUUUAUGUUCUUCAAAAUCCAAAUGACAUCGCUAGCAUACUUUAUCUGUUCUUGACCCCACUAGUAGGGCUUCUGAUAUACAACUUAUGUUCUUCAAAAUCCAAAUGACAUCGCUAGCAUACUGUAUCUGUUCUUGACCCCACUAGUAGGGCUUCUGAUAUGCAACUUAGUACGGUAAACAUUUUGCAGUCCGCAGUGCUACACUUAGGUUACUCAAUGAGGUUUUGUAGGAUAUUGUGCUACUAAGUUCUGAACAUUACUUGUACCUUUGCACUAACUGAAAAUUGUGGUGAUUUUGAUUUUCUUGUGUCCACAGUUAGAACACAGCAUUUCAUUUAUCUUAUUAUCUAUGAGUUUUCUGGUUCAGUCAUUACAGAAAGGGACUGAAGUUGUCAUGUAGCUAGCAACCUAGUACUUUGUAUAGCCUUGUGCACUUAAAAAAGACAAAUUAUGUGCCCAUUCAAAAGUGAUGAUUGAUUUAGUUAUUGUUACAGUUGGUUAACUUAAUUGUAUCCAAAAGUCUUGUCAUUAACAGUUAAAAUAUAGCCAGGUGUGAGCCCUUAUAAACAUAUACAUGGGAAGCCUUUGAUAUAUCCUAUAUGUUUCUCACAUAAUAGCAAAGUUCAUCCCAAAUCUUAUAUUAUUUGAAAUGAGCCCAUAGCUGCAGCUUGCCUUCGAAACAUAUCUAUGGGGAUAUGAUGAGGUUAAACUGCGAUAACUGAACUUAAUGGUUUAGAAGGAGAUUACCUGUAAUAGGGGGGAGGUUGUCGCCUGUCUUUUAGUUAAAGCCAUAGAUAGUUAAGGGUUUAGUGUGGACAUAGGGUUAUCUACAUAAAGAUUGGUUGUGGUGGCAUGCCACAAAAUGUUGGGACGGCAGUACUGCACGUAUCAUGUAGGAGCAUUGCUGAUUUUACUCCUGAAAUGCAGUGAAAUGUCCUUCAUUGUCAAGGAUUAAAACAGGCACCUGAUCUUUUAGACACUUUUAGUAUGUAAUACUUACUGCUUAGGAAAACGACAAUUUUCAUACAUUGACCUUUAUUGUUUGACAAACAUAGUGCAACGUAUAGGAACAGCUUAGUCUGAAAAUGGUAGUUGAAUUAGGAUUGCGAAAUUUGAUAUAUGGUUGAUAACCUGAAUUUGAUAUGCAUUCUUCACUUUAUCUUUGCCCCCAUGUGCAAUUUCUCACUAAAUGUUUUGUUUCUUGUACAGUUGUCCAAUAUGAAGCGCGCUGAAGACAAAAGGAGAAACAGAAUGCUGUUAGUCGUCCCUCUACCUAUGUAAUGAGCUUCCUGAGGGAAAUGGAAAUGUAAGACGCAAUGUUUGAAUGCUGUGUGCGUCCAUUGGACUCGAGAGAUAUUACAGUACUAUGAUUGGUGACGGGUCUUGUUGACUCUUGAGUGGUGCAGAUCUAAUGCAUGCAUUAUACCUGAAUUGUUCACGGGCCUUUUCCAUUUUUGCCUCCGAUGCUCCAUCUACUUUUAUAAGAUACAUCCGCAC